CCCCCUCGAGGCGGCCGCGGUCGGUCCGCUCGCGCGCGGCCCCGUCGCCCCACGCACGCGCCUCCCUCGCUCCCGGCGCUAAAGCUCGCGCGCACUUCUCUCCAGGCCCGCGAGCGUUCGACGACCGCCGUCCAGGUCCCUCUGAAACCCGGUCGCACCAUGUCUUCGCCUCCCGAGGGGAAGCUAGAGACGAAAGCUGGACACCCGCCCGCCGUGAAAGCCGGUGGGAUGCGAAUUGUGCAGAAACACCCGCAUGCUGGAGACACCAGAGAAGAGAAGGACAAAGACGACCAGGAGUGGGAAAGCCCCAGUCCACCCAGACCGACCGUGUUCAUCUCCGGUGUUAUCGCCCGGGGCGACAAGGACUUCCCCCCGGCGGCUGCCCAGGUGGCCCACCAGAAGCCCCACGCCUCCAUGGACAAGCACUCUUCCCCGAGGACACAGCACAUCCAGCAGCCUCGCAAGUGAUGGCGAGGACCCAGCGCCCUCACCAGCCGGGCCUCAGUUCCCCGACACUUGGUGAUGGAAAUGUUCUAAAAUCAACUGAGAGGAUGCUCGCACAUGUCUGUGAAUAUGCUAGACCCAUGGAAUCGUACACCUUAUGGGAGCC
Molecule: RNA transcript, 610 nt
Organism: Globicephala melas (long-finned pilot whale)
Lineage: Eukaryota; Metazoa; Chordata; Mammalia; Artiodactyla; Delphinidae
Gene: DAP
Gene name: death associated protein
Source: RefSeq, a predicted model, not a curated record